Molecule: ribosomal RNA, 787 nt
Filed under: Lactifluus flocktonae
Lineage: Eukaryota; Fungi; Basidiomycota; Agaricomycetes; Russulales; Russulaceae
Description: partial large subunit ribosomal RNA
Source: RNAcentral
GAAGCGGGAAAAKCUCAAAUUUAAAAUCUGGCGGUCUUUGGCUGUCCGAGUUGUAAUUUAGAGAAGCGUCUUCCGCGUCGGGCCGUCACAAGUCUCCUGGAAUGGAGCGUCAUAGAGGGUGAGAAUCCCGUCUCUGGCAUGGAUCCCCGGUGCUUCUGUGAUACGCUCUCAAAGAGUCGAGUUGUUUGGGAAUGCAGCUCAAAAUGGGUGGUGAACUCCAUCUAAAGCUAAAUAUUGGCGAGAGACCGAUAGCGAACAAGUACCGUGAGGKAAAGAUGAAAAGCACUUUGGAAAGAGAGUGAAACAGUACGUGAAAUUGUUGAAAGGGAAACGCUUCAAGUCAGUCGCGUCGACCGAGACUCAGCCUCGCCUCGGCUUGGCGUACUUCUCGGCUGACGGGCCAGCAUCAAUUUCGUCCCUCGAAUAAUGGCAAGAGAAAGGUGGCACCUUACGGGUGUGUUAUAGUCUCCUGUCGCAUGCGAGGGGUGGGAUUGAGGACCUCAGCACGCACCUCUCGGUGUCGGGGCUUCGGCUCACGCUACGUGCUUAGGAUGUUGGCGUAAUGGCUUUAAACGACCCGUCUUGAAACACGGACCAAGGAGUCUAACAUGCCCGCGAGUGUUCGGGUGGAAAACCCGUGCGCGAAAUGAAAGUGAAAGUUGGGACCUCUGUCGUGGAGGGCACCGACGCCCGGACCAGACCUUCUGUGACGGAUCUGCGGUAGAGCGUGCAUGUUGGGACCCGAAAGAUGGUGAACUAUGCCUGAAUAGGGUGAAGCCAGAGGAAA